RNAcentral lists this long non-coding RNA (698 nucleotides) under Lathyrus oleraceus (garden pea). RNAcentral's name for it is "Pisum sativum (pea) long non-coding RNA (PSAT_LNC005644)". The record is from RNAcentral. Lineage: Eukaryota; Viridiplantae; Streptophyta; Magnoliopsida; Fabales; Fabaceae.
AGGCUUCUAUGUUAAACAAAUGCUUUAAGUAGCUAAGUAAUAUGUAUAAGUAUGUGUCAUUUUCAUUCAAAUACAUCAAUUUGGAGUGUUUCAUCCCAUCCUAUAACGGUCAAAGCAAACAUAGCUCUUUUCCCAUGUAUCCAUCUAAUAGAUUAUAUGUAUCUAGCAAAAGUAGCUCUACAUUAUUUUCACAAUUUGUGUCUUUUUUCUUCCUAAAUUUGACACAUAUUUGUCCAUAAAAACAAUCAUUUUCUUUAUUUCUUUUUUUCUUUGUAAAUUUUUUUAAACAACAUAUUAUGAUAUCAAUACAUUAUAUUUUAGAAUUUCAGAUUUUUAAAAACUUAAAUAUCAAUACAUUAUAAUUUAAGUCAAUAAAAUUAUUCAUAAAAAAUUCGCAUAUUUUCUUGUUUUAGUGUUUAACGCAUAUAUUUAAUUUUAAAAACGAGGUAUAAAAUAAGUAUAAAUCAUUCUACUUGUGCUGAUUUGGGGUAGUAAACAUAGUCACCUUGGGAAGGCUUCUAUGUUAAACAAAUGCCUUAAGUAGCUAAGUAAUAUGUAUAAGUAUGUGUCAUUUUCAUUCAAAUACAUCAAUUUGGAGUGUUUCAUCCCAUUCUAUAAUGUUCAAAGCGAACAUAGCUCUUUUCCCAUGUAUCCAUCUAAUAGGUUAUAUGUAUCUAGCAAAAGUAGCUCUACGUUAU